This 439-nucleotide ribosomal RNA is filed under the name uncultured bacterium. Its description in RNAcentral is "partial 16S ribosomal RNA". It matches the Rfam family "Bacterial small subunit ribosomal RNA", at positions 339 to 795 of the family's 1533-position model. The record is from RNAcentral.
CUACGGGGUGCAGCAGUGAGGAAUAUUGGACAAUGGGGGAAACCCUGAUCCAGCAAUGCCGCGUGAAUGAAGAAGGCCUUAGGGUUGUAAAGUUCUUUCACUCGUGAAGAUUAUGACGGUAACGAGAGAAGAAGCCCCGGCUAACUCUGUGCCAGCAGCCGCGGUAAGACAGAGGGGGCUAGCGUUGUUCGGAAUAACUGGGCGUAAAGGGUGCGUAGGCGGUUGUUUAAGUAAAGUGUAAAAGCCCUGGGCUUAACCCAGGAAUCGCAUUUUAAACUGGACAGCUAGAGUGUGGUAGAGGAAAGUGGAAUUCCUAGUGUAGAGGUGAAAUUCGUAGAUAUUAGGAGGAACACCAGAGGCGAAGGCGGCUUUCUGGACCAUUACUGACGCUGAGGCACGAAAGCGUGGGGAGCAAACAGGAUUAGAUACCCCAGUAGUC